UACGUAGGGCGCAAGCGUUGUCCGGAAUUAUUGGGCGUAAAGAGCUCGUAGGCGGCUUGUUACGUCGGUUGUGAAAGCCCGGGGCUCAACCCCGGGUCUGCAGUCGAUACGGGCAGGCUGGAGUGUGGUAGGGGAGACUGGAAUUCCUGGUGUAGCGGUGAAAUGCGCAGAUAUCAGGAGGAACACCGGUGGCGAAGGCGGGUCUCUGGGCCGUAACUGACGCUGAGGAGCGAAAGCGUGGGGAGCGAACAGG
RNAcentral lists this ribosomal RNA (253 nucleotides) under uncultured bacterium. RNAcentral's name for it is "partial 16S ribosomal RNA". It matches the Rfam family "Bacterial small subunit ribosomal RNA", at positions 524 to 776 of the family's 1533-position model. The record is from RNAcentral.